RNAcentral lists this ribosomal RNA (780 nucleotides) under uncultured bacterium. Its description in RNAcentral is "bacterial SSU rRNA". It matches the Rfam family "Bacterial small subunit ribosomal RNA", at positions 52 to 817 of the family's 1533-position model. The record is from RNAcentral.
CACAUGCAAGUCGAACGGCAGCACGAGAAAGCUUGCUUUCUUGGUGGCGAGUGGCGGACGGGUGAGUAAUGUAUCGGAACGUGCCCAGUAGCGGGGGAUAACUGGCCGAAAGGUCAGCUAAUACCGCAUACGCCCUAAGGGGGAAAGGCGGGGAUCCAUUUAUGGACCUGUCACUAUUGGAGCGGCCGAUAUCGGAUUAGCUAGUUGGUGGGGUAAAGGCCUACCAAGGCUGCGAUCCGUAGCUGGUUUGAGAGGACGACCAGCCACACUGGGACUGAGACACGGCCCAGGCUCCUACGGGAGGCAGCAGUGGGGAAUUUUGGACAAUGGGGGCAACCCUGAUCCAGCCAUCCCGCGUGUGCGAUGAAGGCCUUCGGGUUGUAAAGCACUUUUGGCAGGGAAGAAACAGCUCGGGCUAAUAUUCCGAGUCAAUGACGGUACCUGCAGAAUAAGCACCGGCUAACUACGUGCCAGCAGCCGCGGUAAUACGUAGGGUGCAAGCGUUAAUCGGAAUUACUGGGCGUAAAGCGUGCGCAGGCGGUUUGGCAAGAAAGGUGUGAAAUCCCAGGGCUUAACCUUGGAACUGCACUUUUAACUGCCAGGCUAGAGUACGUCAGAGGGGGGUAGAAUUCCACGUGUAGCAGUGAAAUGCGUAGAUAUGUGGAGGAAUACCGAUGGCGAAGGCAGCCCCCUGGGAUAGUACUGACGCUCAUGCACGAAAGCGUGGGUAGCAAACAGGAUUAGAUACCCUGGUAGUCCACGCCCUAAACGAUGUCAACU